UACGGAGGGUGCGAGCGUUAAUCGGAAUUACUGGGCGUAAAGCGAGCGUAGGCGGCGUGAUAAGAGGGUUGUGAAAGCCCCGGGCUCAACCUGGGAACGGCAUCCGGAACUGUCAGGCUAGAGUGCAGGAGAUGAAGGUAGAAUUCCCGGUGUAUCUGUGAAAUGCGUAGAGAUCGGGAGGAAUACCAGUGGCGAAGGCGGCCUUCUGGACUGACACUGACGCUGAGGUGCGAAAGCGUGGGUAGCAAACAGG
RNAcentral lists this unclassified non-coding RNA (253 nucleotides) under uncultured Halomonadaceae bacterium. RNAcentral describes it as "contains 16S-23S intergenic spacer region". It matches the Rfam family "Bacterial small subunit ribosomal RNA", at positions 524 to 776 of the family's 1533-position model. The record is from RNAcentral. Lineage: Bacteria; Pseudomonadati; Pseudomonadota; Gammaproteobacteria; Oceanospirillales; Halomonadaceae.